GAUGAAGAACGUAGCGAAAUGCGAUACGUAAUGUGAAUUGCAAAUUCAGUGAAUCAUCGAGUCUUUGAACGCACAUUGCGCCCUCUGGUAUUCCGGAGGGCAUGCCUGUCCGAGCGUCAUUGCUGCCCUCAAGCACGGCUUGUGUGUUGGGCCCCGUCCUCCUUCCGGGGGACGGGUCCGAAAGGCAGCGGCGGCACCGCGUCCGGUCCUCAAGCGUAUGGGGCUUUGUCACUCGCUUUGUAGGCCUGGCCGGCGCUUGCCGAUCAACCAAACUUUUUAUCAGGUUGACCUCGGAUCAGGUAGGGAUACCCGCUGAACUUAAGCAUAUCAAUAAGCGGAGGA
Molecule: unclassified non-coding RNA, 342 nt
Filed under: soil metagenome
Description: partial contains 5.8S ribosomal RNA, internal transcribed spacer 2, and large subunit ribosomal RNA
Rfam family: 5.8S ribosomal RNA (bases 1-119)
Source: RNAcentral